Small RNA from Shigella dysenteriae Sd197, 158 nucleotides. It matches the Rfam family "Enterobacterial sRNA STnc410". Lineage: Bacteria; Pseudomonadati; Pseudomonadota; Gammaproteobacteria; Enterobacterales; Enterobacteriaceae. The record is from Rfam.
AGGAUAAAUUGUUCAAUAACGGAUUAUCCCCGCUGACGAAAGCGCCAUUUUCGACCAUCGUCACGCCUUUUGUCUGCAGAAAAUUAAGGCUGUACCUUCAUUUAAGCGUCAGGUGGAUGUUUUUGCUCUUAUUUCGAUCAAUGAAUAAACGGGAAAAC